GUAGGUGAACCUGCGGAAGGAUCAUUAACACGUAUCCAACGUAAAAACCCCCCUGUGAACCUUUAGACCUGUUCUCCUAGCCCAGUGCGAUCCAGCAAUCCCGGUAAAUCAUUGUUGAACAGUAUUGAUUCGGGACCUCUGACAAAUGAGAAGUUACAGUUAGGAUAUGAGCGGAGAUAGCUGCAUGGCAUCCCGAGGCAGUCAGUGUCUGAAAGUGUCAUUGAUUUUCUCCUUCUCUCUCUUCUCCUCU
Molecule: unclassified non-coding RNA, 250 nt
Filed under: plant metagenome
Description: partial contains small subunit ribosomal RNA, internal transcribed spacer 1, and 5.8S ribosomal RNA
Source: RNAcentral